Molecule: non-coding RNA, 24 nt
Filed under: Arabidopsis thaliana (thale cress)
Lineage: Eukaryota; Viridiplantae; Streptophyta; Magnoliopsida; Brassicales; Brassicaceae
Source: RNAcentral
AUCCAUAGAGACUUGAAGCCUUCC